RNAcentral lists this ribosomal RNA (240 nucleotides) under uncultured bacterium. RNAcentral describes it as "partial 16S ribosomal RNA". It matches the Rfam family "Bacterial small subunit ribosomal RNA", at positions 523 to 762 of the family's 1533-position model. The record is from RNAcentral.
AAACGUAGGAGACAAGCGUUAUCCGGAGUUACUGGGCGUAAAGGGCGUGUAGGCGGCCUUCUAAGUGGGUUGUGAAAGCGACUGGCUCAACCGGUCGAGGCCGACCCAGACUGGGAAGCUAGAGGGCGGUAGAGGGGCGUGGAAUUCCGGGUGUAGUGGUGAAAUGCGUAGAGAUCCGGAGGAACACCAGAGGCGAAGGCGACACUCUAGGCCGCACCUGACGCCGAGACGCGACAGCAC